Molecule: ribosomal RNA, 330 nt
Filed under: Triticum aestivum (bread wheat)
Lineage: Eukaryota; Viridiplantae; Streptophyta; Magnoliopsida; Poales; Poaceae
Description: partial small subunit ribosomal RNA
Source: RNAcentral
AUGGGGUGUCCCGCAGCAGCAGCAGGGACUUGGCGAGACGUCCUCGACGGGGACCUGUCGAGAGCUGGCCGGAACUGGACAGAGUUGGUCACCGGCGACGGAUCCAGGCCGGAUCCAGGCGGGCGCGGCGGCAAGGGCUCUGAACGGCGGACUUGGCAACGGGGAGGAAGGUUCAGACGAAGCAAGGCAACAGCGGCGACGGGCAGAGCUGCAGAACUUGGCGCGGUGAAAGAGAAGGCUCAUUGCUGCGGCGAGAACGAGGUGGAAGCAGGGUCGGGCGGCCCACAGCAAAGGCAAGACAGAGAAGGGCCGACGCGGGCAGUGAUGUAG